AGCUCUCGUUGCCCAGGCUGGAGUGCAAUGGUGUAAUCUUGGUUCACCACAACCUCUGCCUCUCAGGUUCAAGUGAUUCUCCUGUCUCAGCCUCCCAAGUAGCUAGGAUUACAGGCAUGUGCCACCACGCCCUGCUAAUUUUGUAUUUUUAGUAGAGACGGAUGGGGUUUCACCAUGUUGGUCAAGCUGGUCUCGAACUCCUGACCUCAGGUGAUCUGCCCCUAUUAGCCUCCCAAAGUGCUGGGAUUACAGUCAUGAGCCACCGCACCUGGCCCCAAACUUUUUUUUUUUUAAGCAAAGAAAUUGUUUCCUGGAUAACCUCACAUAAAGCAUCCCAGUAUGUAAAGCAGAUAAUAGUGUUGGAAGUGACAACCUGGAAUUCUGUCCAUGGGGACUCUUCUCCUUGUACUCCCACACACAGAAACCCUUCAGCUUAUGCUUCCAACGUCAGUGUCCAAAGAAACUUUAGACAAAUCCAGCCCCUUCAUUCACAGAUGGAGACAUUAUUGUUAGUUGUAGUAAAUGUUAGCUAACUACCAGUACUUACACUUUAAACGUGCCUGGCAUAGGAGAAUGAUUUUAUAUGUCUGAUAGUAUCAAAUCCCCACAACUACCUGAUAAACUAAGUAUUAUAAUGACCCUCAUUUUGCAGGUGAGUAAACAGAAGUCUAGAGAGGUACAAUCACUUCCGAAAGUCACCCAGCUGGUAAGUGGUGAAGGCAGAAUUCAGAGCCCAGUGUGGCUGACUCAAUAGCCUGUGCCAUCCACCCCUACAUGAGUUGCCCAGGGAGGUUAGAGACUGUCCCACAGUCUCAUAGGAGCUGAGCAGGGACAACGAGGUGGCCUGGUGUGGAGGGAAGGUCACGGGUGUGUGGGGCUGGAGCUCUGGGUCCAAGAUGUUCAUCAGCUGCCUGUCCUGGCUGGUAAGAGACUGAGGGUGAGUGGUCAGUGAGCAUGAGAGGGGGAAGGGAGCCUUGGGAGACCACACUGGAGAACCUGGAACUAGGGAGCUAUAGCAGGUGUCUGAGCUAGAGAAUUAAUCCUACUGUUGGCUGCACAUCAAUAUUGGGACAAUAGGCCCAGAUGUGUCAUUCCUAAUAAUCACAAUGGGGCAGGAUGGUGCUCAAAGCACUUUACUGGCAUGAUCUUAAUCAUCACAAAGCCUCUAUGAGAGAGGUGAUGUCAUGAUACCCAUUUUACAGAUGAGGUCGCUGGGGGCUCAGGGAAGUGAAGUGCUUUGUCCAGGGUCACGUGGCUGAAGAGUGGGGGAGCUGACACUUGAAGCCAAGACUGGCUGACUUUCAAGCCCACAUGCCUCUGUCAGUUAAGUGUGGUGAUGGUAAUGCUGUGUAACAAACAAUCCCCCAAAUCUCUGUGCUGUAGGACAGAUCACCCACUCUAGGGAAGCCAGCUGCCAUGUCGUGGGGAUAUUCAAGCAGCCCAGUGGAGAGACCCAUGUGGUGAGGACCUGUGAUCUCCAGCCAGCAGCUGUGUGAGUGGCCUAUCUUGGAAGCAGCUCCUCCAGCCCCAGUUCAGUCUUCAGAUGAGACUGCAGCUGCAGCUGACAUCCUGACUGCAACCUGAUGAGAGACCCAGAGUCAGAACUGCUCAGACUAAAGUUGCUCCUGAAUUUCUGACCCGCAGGAACUGUGAGACAACAACUGUUUAUUGUUUUAAGUUGCCAAGUUCUGGGGUAGAUUUGCUUGCAGCAAUAGAUACGAAUGCUGUGUCUAAGUAUUCUGCCAACUCACUGCUGCCAUAGCAAGGCCCAUCAUAACAAGCGAGGCUUGGAUGGAAGCAGCUUUGUCUUCUACCCAGAGAACCAGCAAAAUCCCAACAAUUUACCAAGAUUAGAGAACCAAAAAUACCCAUGGAAACUAUAGUUGUUAAGAAACAUCUGUUUUUGAGCUGUCUAAAUUGGGUAGUUCUCAAAAGGAAUAAAAAUGUAUCAGAGGAUGGGGACAGCUGGGUGGGGACUGAUGCCAACUGCCUGGCAGGCUCAGCUGGUCACUCGGGUUCCUUCUCAGAGCUGAGGCAGGGAGAAAGAUCCAAAUAAAGAUCUGAUGGGGCAGAUUAGACAGAGCUGCCUGUAGCAAGGCACUGAGGGCUGUGUCCAGCUGCAGGGGCAGUACUUAAGCUUACUGCACCCCUACUAUGUGCCAGGUGCAGGGUGGGCACCUGCAUGUGAGGACCAGGGAUUGGGGUGUUGGAAGAUUUUGGCUUUUGGCCAGGACUAAAGGGUGAGAGGUAGUAUGGAGAAGGAAUUAAGGCCCUGUGGAGAGGCCUGGGCUUAAAUCCUGGCAUUGAUGUUUACCAGCUCUGAGGCUUGUACGUGGCCAAUCACUUAAACACUCUGGGCCAGUUUCCUCAACUGUAAAACGGGCAUAGUCACAGUGCCUACUUGAUCCAUCCUUGUGUUCCUCUCAGGCUUGCUUUGUAAGACUCCUGGACUCCUUAGGUUUUAUCAAUCCUGGUGCCCUUCCAUUGUAUCACAUCCUUGGAUCACAGUGAUGGGUUCAGGAAUAGACACAUGACCCAAGGGAGGCUAAUCAGGUGAAUAUAGGGAGAUGUUCUUUCUUUCUUAAGGUGGCUACGUUUAGGACAUGAGCCAGGGUUGCCAGUGUCACCCAUCACAUGUACCAUAUGAAUAACUCUUGUCUAAGAUCUGGCAAGAGAUGGUGGAGCCUAAUGACAUUGUUAAAGAUCCUGGAUACAGCCAUACCUGAAGCGUAUCCAGAAUUCCGGCUGAGUAUCUGUACUAGUCAAUGUUCUCCAAAUAAUAUACACAGGCAUAACUCAGAGAUACUGUAGGUUUGGUUGCAGGCCACCUCAAUAAAACAAAUAUUGCAAUAAAGUGGGUCAUAGGAAUUUUUGAUUUCCCAGUGCACGUAAAAGUUACACUAUAGUGUAUUAAGUGUGCAAUACCAUUACAUCUAAAAACCACUGUACAUACCUUAAUUAAAAAUACUUUAUUGCUAGCAAUCAUCUGAGCCUUCUGCAAAUUGUAAUCUUUUUGCUCGUGGAGGGUCAUGCCUUGAUGUUUAUGGCUGCUGACUCAUUAGGGUGGUGGUUGCUGAAGGUUGGGGUGGCUGUGGCAGUUUCUUAAAAUAUGACAACAAUAAAGUUGGCCACAUUGAUG
RNAcentral lists this long non-coding RNA (3139 nucleotides) under Homo sapiens (human). RNAcentral's name for it is "HSALNT0405232". The record is from RNAcentral. Lineage: Eukaryota; Metazoa; Chordata; Mammalia; Primates; Hominidae.